CCUACGGGAGGCAGCAGUAGGGAAUAUUGGGCAAUGGAGGCAACUCUGACCCAGCCAUGCCGCGUGCAGGAUGAAGGCGUUAUGCGUUGUAAACUGCUUUUAUAUAGGAAGAAAGAGUUCUUGCGAGAACAGUUGACGGUACUAUAUGAAUAAGCACCGGCUAACUCCGUGCCAGCAGCCGCGGUAAUACGGAGGGUGCAAGCGUUGUCCGGAUUUAUGGGUUUAAAGGGUGCGUAGGCGGUUUAUUAAGUCAGUGGUGAAAGACGGUCGCUCAACGAUUGCAGUGCCAUUGAUACUGGUAGACUUGAGUGAGAUUGAGGUAGCUGGAAUGGAUAGUGUAGCGGUGAAAUGCAUAGAUAUUAUCCAGAACACCAAUUGCGUAGGCAAGUUACUAAGUCUCAACUGACGCUGAGGCACGAAAGUGUGGGUAUCAAACAGGAUUAGAUACCCUGGUAGUCCACACUGUAAACGAUGAUAACUAACUGUUGGCUUUCGGGUCAGUGGUACAGAGAAAUCGUUAAGUUAUCCACCUGGGGAGUACGCCGGCAACGGUGAAACUUAAAGGAAUUGACGG
RNAcentral lists this ribosomal RNA (574 nucleotides) under uncultured bacterium. RNAcentral describes it as "bacterial SSU rRNA". It matches the Rfam family "Bacterial small subunit ribosomal RNA", at positions 338 to 916 of the family's 1533-position model. The record is from RNAcentral.